Gadus chalcogrammus (walleye pollock) is the source of this 1051-nucleotide long non-coding RNA. RefSeq lists it as uncharacterized. NCBI's taxonomy places the organism in Eukaryota, Metazoa, Chordata, Actinopteri, Gadiformes, Gadidae. The record is from RefSeq and is a predicted model, not a curated record. The transcript has 3 exons.
UAAAAUACGUUGAUUGUAAACACCAUGUUAAGUAAAGCAUGCCCAGACACUUGAUUGUCCGUUUAUGGUGGUUUUAUGCGAUCAAACGUUGACGACAAUAACAACAAAGUUCCACGGUGGCCAGAGAAAAUCAGUCCUGACUUGAGGGCCGUUCCAAAGCGUUUCGUCAGGCAACUCUGGACAAGAACGGUGAGCCUCCACGAGGAAGACUGGUGUCCACGGCAACCCAUCCUCAUCAGGGUCUCCAGCGAAGCACUCCUGCUCAUCCAUCAAUCAAAAGUUGCUGCUGGGAAUGUCACAGCCAAAUUGACCGUGCUCCAGUACCCCAAGCCAGAGAAACCAAGAUGCCAUUGUUAGCAAUACCAAUUCUAGCCAGGUUAGCCAUUGAAAGCCAUUGUUAGGAAUACCAGUUGUUAACAAUGCAUUAGUAUUAUUUUGCGCAUACAACCAUGCACACAGAUAUAAGUUGUACAGUAGUGUUUGUACAAUUGCUUAUAAACAGUAUAUUACUCAAGUUUUCACUACUGUUGAUCGGCCAAGGAUCUUGAGGACAGGAUUGUGAUGAUCUUGUGACUUUCUGAGUCAAAGAGCUGACUUCAGUGGGCGUUCCAGUGGGCAUUCCAGUUUAAAUUUACGACUGGGAACUUUGACUUCCCAGUUCAAAUGAAACGUGUGCCCCUAGCUGUCCUAAAAUCAGUGUAAAUAAUGACCUCAAUGGCAUUUUGCUUUUAAUAAAUGGUUACAAACAGCGUAAACUAAAGUAAUCACCCUGCAACAUAAAAUGUGAUAAUUUCUAGAAAAAUAUACGUAAAUAAUUCUCCCAGGCAAUAUAGUUCCCCAAGACAGCAAUAGCAACACAGACUAGCAUACUUUGAGAUUGGCAGCAUAUUAGUAUUAAAAAUCAUUGUAAUGCGCCCACAUGUGUGUGAGUACGGUUUCAGCUAAUCCAAAUCAAGAAACAGAAAUAGCCUUUUAAUAAUUACCAAAUAGCACUAGCAUAAUAGCCUUAAUAUGUUGUAAUAGCUUAGAAUAAGCCUCAGGCAAAAAAAAC